This is a long non-coding RNA of Drosophila ananassae, 753 nucleotides long. RefSeq lists it as uncharacterized. The transcript has 2 exons. Lineage: Eukaryota; Metazoa; Arthropoda; Insecta; Diptera; Drosophilidae. The record is from RefSeq and is a predicted model, not a curated record.
UUCCAGCGCCACGCCGCGGGAUCUGAUGGAUUUAUUAUAAAUUAGUAUUCAUCGCUCAACCCGACAAAAGAUCUUUUGGACGUGGAAAUUAAACUCGAUGUACAUAAGUGAAAAAAAAAAAACUCAUUACCCCAAAUUAAAUAUUGUUGGUGGUUAGGCUGAUUUUUCUCAGUGUAAUAAAAGCUUUACCUGAAAGAUUUUUAUCUCCCAUACGGUAAAAUCGAACCACGCGGUUCCAAUUAAAUACCGAACAACGGUACACUGAAAGAAAAGAAAGAAAAAAUAAAAACGAAAAUCUUUCUGGCACGUGCUGGCUAUAUAUAUAUUUUCCUUUUUUUUAUUCCCAAUAUUUAAUAAUGGCCUUCCGCAAUGACAACAAAGAAAAAUGAAUUACAUUUCUUUUCUUAAAUUAAUUAAGAAAUAUUUAAUAAAAAUUAAUGGAAUCUUGGAACAUUAUUUUUAAUACUCUUGCCGUGUUCCAACUUAAAAAAAAAAAAAAAAACCCUUGCUAAAGUUAUUCAUAAACCCUUGCUAUCAAAUUUGAAUUGGAAAUGAAUAAGUUACUAUGGAGACAUUUUACGAUAUACAUUUAGGAAAUAAUAUUAGAGAAUACCCGCUAUGGAAGACAAGAUUCUCUUCAUAAACAUGAUUCUUGUUAUUAAUUUUAUAUAGACAUAUAUAAUAUUAUUGCCUAUUAAUGCGACUUAUUAUUUCUUAUACCAACUUAUAAAGAUAUAAAUUCUAAGAUAAUUU